GUGGCUGUAGCUCAGUUGGUAGAGCAUCGGAUUGUGGCUCCGAGAGUCGCGGGUUCAAAUCCCGUCAGUCACC
This 73-nucleotide transfer RNA is filed under the name Planctomycetota bacterium. RNAcentral describes it as "Planctomycetes bacterium (freshwater metagenome) tRNA-His". It matches the Rfam family "tRNA". From Rfam's summary of the family: Transfer RNA (tRNA) molecules are approximately 80 nucleotides in length. Lineage: Bacteria; Pseudomonadati; Planctomycetota. The record is from RNAcentral.